AACGAACGCUGGCGGCAGGCCUAACACAUGCAAGUCGAGCGAGGACUUCGGUCCUAGCGGCGGACGGGUGAGUAACGCGUGGGAACGUGCCCUUUGCUUCGGAAUAGCCCUGGGAAACUGGGAGUAAUACCGGAUGAGCCCUUUGGGGGAAAGAUUUAUCGGCGAAGGAUCGGCCCGCGUUGGAUUAGGUAGUUGGUGGGGUAAUGGCCUACCAAGCCGACGAUCCAUAGCUGGUUUGAGAGGAUGAUCAGCCACACUGGGACUGAGACGCGGCCCAGACUCCUACGGGAGGCAGCAGUGGGGAAUCUUAGACAAUGGGGGAAACCCUGAUCUAGCCAGGCCGCGUGAGCGAUGAAGGCCUUAGGGUUGUAAAGCUCUUUAAGCUGGGAAGAUAAUGACGGUACCAGCAGAAGAAGCCCCGGCUAACUCCGUG
Molecule: ribosomal RNA, 433 nt
Filed under: uncultured bacterium
Lineage: Bacteria
Description: partial 16S ribosomal RNA
Rfam family: Bacterial small subunit ribosomal RNA
Source: RNAcentral